AUUGAACGCCGGCGGCAUGCCUUACACAUGCAAGUCGAACGGUAACAGGUUAAGCUGACGAGUGGCGAACGGGUGAGUAAUACAUCGGAACGUGCCCAGUAGUGGGGGAUAGCCCGGCGAAAGCCGGAUUAAUACCGCAUACGACCUAAGGGUGAAAGGGGGGGAUCGCAAGACCUCUCGCUAUUGGAGCGGCCGAUGUCAGAUUAGCUAGUUGGUGGGGUAAAAGCUCACCAAGGCGACGAUCUGUAGCUGGUCUGAGAGGACGACCAGCCACACUGGGACUGAGACACGGCCCAGACUCCUACGGGAGGCAGCAGUGGGGAAUUUUGGACAAUGGGCGCAGGCCUGAUCCAGCCAUGCCGCGUGCGGGAAGAAGGCCUUCGGGUUGUAAACCGCUUUUGUCAGGGAAGAAAUCCUUUGGGUUAAUACCUCGGGGGGAUGACGGUACCUGAAGAAUAAGCACCGGCUAACUACGUG
This 477-nucleotide ribosomal RNA is filed under the name uncultured bacterium. RNAcentral's name for it is "partial 16S ribosomal RNA". It matches the Rfam family "Bacterial small subunit ribosomal RNA", at positions 30 to 507 of the family's 1533-position model. The record is from RNAcentral.